CCUACGGGGGGCAGCAGUGGGGAAUAUUGCGCAAUGGGCGAAAGCCUGACGCAGCGACGCCGCGUGAGGGAUGAAGGUCUUCGGAUCGUAAACCUCUGUCAGCAGGGAAGAACGGUCACUGUGCUAAUCAGCAGUGAAUUGACGGUACCUGCAAAGGAAGCACCGGCUAACUCCGUGCCAGCAGCCGCGGUAAUACGGAGGGUGCGAGCGUUAAUCGGAAUUACUGGGCGUAAAGCGCUCGUAGGCGGUAUGUCAAGUCAAGGGUGAAAGCCCCGCGCUCAACGUGGGAACUGCCUUUGAAACUGGCAAACUGGAGUGUAGUAGAGGAUAGUGGAAUUCCAGGUGUAGGAGUAAAAUCCGUAGAUAUCUGGAGGAACAUCAGUGGCGAAGGCGACUAUCUGGCACAUAACUGACGCUGAGGAGCGAAAGCGUGGGUAGCAAACAGGAUUAGAUACCCUUGUAGUC
This 465-nucleotide ribosomal RNA is filed under the name uncultured bacterium. Its description in RNAcentral is "partial 16S ribosomal RNA". It matches the Rfam family "Bacterial small subunit ribosomal RNA", at positions 338 to 795 of the family's 1533-position model. The record is from RNAcentral.